AACCACGUGUACUAAAGCAGCUGAUUACUUGCUAGUUGCUUUUGUCGAUCGAUUGUGUUAGAGUUUGUGCUUCUUUUGUUGCCUUUAUCAUGUUGGUAGAAAGGCCAACUUCGUGUGUAGAUACGAACUUCACCACUUAGUGCCAACCGUCCGUCUCUACUACCUACUGGCGAUACCGGGGAAAAAGAUAAAGCAGUGGGAGAGUAUUUACUCAUUGUACUCGUACAGUUAAAGUGGUUUCGGAGGUAGCUUUGAAUGUAAUAUGCAACUCACCUCAGUUAAUGGUGGAUACAAAUACGGUUAUUAAAUGAAAUAUUUUCGCAUAAAAUCUAAUUAUAAUGCUCAGACACUGGUAAUAAACUUCAAACAAAUGACAAUACAAAUGACAAGUGAGGCUGGGCCAAGCAUAUACAAAAGGUGUAAGAAUCAAAUUUGAUAAAUAAAUGCAUAUGCAUUUGUAAUCUGACAAAUUAGUCAAUUCAUUCGUAUGUCGUCAAUCAAUUGGUAUUUGAAAAAAAAUAGUCAAACAUUAAACAUAACACUUCGGAAAUGAGCAUUAUAUACAAAUUAUGAAUACGACUACUAAACGUUUGUUAAGAAAUCGUACAGUUUAGAAAAUAAUGUGUAAUAUGUAUAUAGAUUAGCCAACCCAAAGAAUGUAAUAAAGCAAGCUUUAAACAUAAAUUUUAA
Molecule: non-coding RNA, 690 nt
Organism: Bactrocera oleae (olive fruit fly)
Lineage: Eukaryota; Metazoa; Arthropoda; Insecta; Diptera; Tephritidae
Source: RefSeq, a predicted model, not a curated record